UAAAUACUAUUUAUCCGUUUAAAACAAAAUGAAAAAAAUAUGCAGUCUGACAGCCCAAAAAAAAAUCAUUGAAACAAUACAAUUCCUUCUUGAAUCCUAAAUUCCUCUAAUAUCGGUUCGGACGCUCUGUUUAGCCGAUAUCCAGGGUUAGGGUUUAAUUUCAUAUAUCAGAAAUUUUCUUGAAUAUUAAUUCCCGGUGCACCGGUAAAUGGAUAACUCGAAUUCAAUUCAAGUUGUGUAGAAUUCGCAACACUAGAAAUGUGUUAUUCAAUUCAUGCAUGGGUAGAUUGAAGCUUAAGCGAUUCAGCAAAAUUUUUGCUUCUCUUGUUUUCAAUGAAGAUUGCUCCGACCAUCUAAACGUAAACGGCAAUUACCAGCAAAAUGGAGGUUUUUUUUUAUUUCAUUUGAUUUUAUUUAUUUCCCCGCAUAUUCUUGUAACAGAUAAUUUCAAUCUCAUGCUAGAAUCUUGUUGGCCUCCGUUUAUUGGCUGGAAUCCAUAAACAGAGUACAAGCUUGGUGGGCUUCUUGAAAUUUUGUGUUGUAAGAUAAAUGAACUAUUUUCUCUCCUUUUUUUUUUCGGAGGAGAAGCAAUGAAUUGUCGUCACCAAAAUCAAUUGCUUAUGCAAAGCAACGCCUUCUUUUGGUGGAAGGCAAAGCUAUUUUGCUGAAUCGCUAGCUCUGUGUCUUUGAGCACACAGUAUUGGGAGAGUGGAAUCGUGCAAUCCGAAGAAGCUAUUCGCUUGCUAAUAUCAUCUUCUCCAUCUUGAACAGAAGGACGAAGAAAUGAAGCCCUCAAAGGAACUCCAUAUCCAGAAGGAGAACGAUCCAGUUCCUAAAGGUUGGAUAGAGUACAUAUGUGAUGAUAGUCUCAGACUCGCAAUUCCAGUCGGACCUCGUUUUCAGGCUGAUCUGCCAGCUUUGCCUGUUUCCCUACACAAGAAUGGUCAGCACAACAUGCACAGGAAAUCUCGCAGUUCAAAGUGGUUAAGCAUCAAGGUAUGGCCAACUAAAGGCAGAAGCCUGGAAGUCUCUGGAGAUGUGAUCGGAAAAGGAAGACCCAAGUCUUGUUCAUGUGUAUCCCCUGGAUCUGUUGAAUGCGUUAGACAGCACAUCAAUGCUAAGAAAAUCCAGCUGCAAUCUGAUCUGGGGCCUGCCUUUUGGCAAUGGAAA
Non-coding RNA from Coffea arabica (coffee), 1170 nucleotides. The record is from RefSeq and is a predicted model, not a curated record. NCBI's taxonomy places the organism in Eukaryota, Viridiplantae, Streptophyta, Magnoliopsida, Gentianales, Rubiaceae.